This 315-nucleotide ribosomal RNA is filed under the name Triticum aestivum (bread wheat). Its description in RNAcentral is "partial small subunit ribosomal RNA". Lineage: Eukaryota; Viridiplantae; Streptophyta; Magnoliopsida; Poales; Poaceae. The record is from RNAcentral.
AUGGGUUCUUGGAAGCGCACCAUCACGACGCCGUUCAGGAAGGCCUGCACCAUCCUCAGCCCGCAGCACGGCGGGGGCAGGAGCGAAGACCAGCACGGCGGCAGCGGCAACGACGGCAAGAAGACGCCGCGCACGCGCCACCAUCUGAAGCGGUCCGGAGCGGCCGCGGCGAUGGCGCAGGGCGAGGUGGUGGAGAGCCCGUCCACGACGGCGCAGCUCUACGGCGACGUGAUGGCGUGCGCCUACGAGGACGUGCAGGUCAUGUGGUCCAUGCUCGACAACAAGGCCAAGGUCCUCGACAGCGCCGCCUCGUGA